AUUGAACGCUGGCGGCAUGCCUAACACAUGCAAGUCGAGCGGAUGAAGGGAGCUUGCUCCUGGAUUCAGCGGCGGACGGGUGAGUAAUGCCUAGGAAUCUGCCUGGUAGUGGGGGAUAACGUCCGGAAACGGGCGCUAAUACCGCAUACGUCCUGAGGGAGAAAGUGGGGGAUCUUCGGACCUCACGCUAUCAGAUGAGCCUAGGUCGGAUUAGCUAGUUGGUGGGGUAAAGGCCUACCAAGGCGACGAUCCGUAACUGGUCUGAGAGGAUGAUCAGUCACACUGGAACUGAGACACGGUCCAGACUCCUACGGGAGGCAGCAGUGGGGAAUAUUGGACAAUGGGCGAAAGCCUGAUCCAGCCAUGCCGCGUGUGUGAAGAAGGUCUUCGGAUUGUAAAGCACUUUAGGUUGGGAGGAAGGGCAGUAAGUUAAUACCUUGCUGUUUUGACGUUACCAACAGAAUAAGCACCGGCUAACUUCGUG
RNAcentral lists this ribosomal RNA (484 nucleotides) under uncultured bacterium. RNAcentral's name for it is "partial 16S ribosomal RNA". It matches the Rfam family "Bacterial small subunit ribosomal RNA", at positions 30 to 507 of the family's 1533-position model. The record is from RNAcentral.